This 936-nucleotide ribosomal RNA is filed under the name Salmonella enterica subsp. enterica serovar Montevideo. RNAcentral describes it as "partial 23S ribosomal RNA". It matches the Rfam family "Bacterial large subunit ribosomal RNA", at positions 1998 to 2925 of the family's 2925-position model. Lineage: Bacteria; Pseudomonadati; Pseudomonadota; Gammaproteobacteria; Enterobacterales; Enterobacteriaceae. The record is from RNAcentral.
GGCGUAAUGAUGGCCAGGCUGUCUCCACCCGAGACUCAGUGAAAUUGAACUCGCUGUGAAGAUGCAGUGUACCCGCGGCAAGACGGAAAGACCCCGUGAACCUUUACUAUAGCUUGACACUGAACAUUGAGCCUUGAUGUGUAGGAUAGGUGGGAGGCUUUGAAGUGUGGACGCCAGUCUGCAUGGAGCCGACCUUGAAAUACCACCCUUUAAUGUUUGAUGUUCUAACGUGGACCCGUGAUCCGGGUUGCGGACAGUGUCUGGUGGGUAGUUUGACUGGGGCGGUCUCCUCCUAAAGAGUAACGGAGGAGCACGAAGGUUGGCUAAUCCUGGUCGGACAUCAGGAGGUUAGUGCAAUGGCAUAAGCCAGCUUGACUGCGAGCGUGACGGCGCGAGCAGGUGCGAAAGCAGGUCAUAGUGAUCCGGUGGUUCUGAAUGGAAGGGCCAUCGCUCAACGGAUAAAAGGUACUCCGGGGAUAACAGGCUGAUACCGCCCAAGAGUUCAUAUCGACGGCGGUGUUUGGCACCUCGAUGUCGGCUCAUCACAUCCUGGGGCUGAAGUAGGUCCCAAGGGUAUGGCUGUUCGCCAUUUAAAGUGGUACGCGAGCUGGGUUUAGAACGUCGUGAGACAGUUCGGUCCCUAUCUGCCGUGGGCGCUGGAGAACUGAGGGGGGCUGCUCCUAGUACGAGAGGACCGGAGUGGACGCAUCACUGGUGUUCGGGUUGUCAUGCCAAUGGCACUGCCCGGUAGCUAAAUGCGGAAGAGAUAAGUGCUGAAAGCAUCUAAGCACGAAACUUGCCCCGAGAUGAGUUCUCCCUGAGACUUUAGGUCUCCUGAAGGAACGUUGAAGACGACGACGUUGAUAGGCCGGGUGUGUAAGCGCAGCGAUGCGUUGAGCUAACCGGUACUAAUGAACCGUGAGGCUUAACCUUACA